GACGAACGCUGGCGGCGUGCUUAACACAUGCAAGUCGAGCGGUAAGGCUCCUUCGGGAGUACACGAGCGGCGAACGGGUGAGUAACACGUGAGUAAUCUGCCCUUCACUUCGGGAUAACCACCGGAAACGGUGGCUAAUACCGGAUACGACCAGUCUUCGCAUGAGGUGCUGGUGGAAAGUCUUUUCGGUGAAGGAUGUGCUCGCGGCCUAUCAGCUUGUUGGUGGGGUAACGGCCCACCAAGGCUUCGACGGGUAGCCGGCCUGAGAGGGUGACCGGCCACACUGGGACUGAGACACGGCCCAGACUCCUACGGGAGGCAGCAGUGGGGAAUAUUGGACAAUGGGCGAAAGCCUGAUCCAGCAACGCCGCGUGAGGGAUGACGGCCUUCGGGUUGUAAACCUCUUUCAGCUGGGAAGAUAAUGACGGUACCAGCAGAAGAAGCCCCGGCUAACUCCGUGCCAGCCGCCGCAGUAACAC
This 479-nucleotide ribosomal RNA is filed under the name uncultured bacterium. RNAcentral describes it as "bacterial SSU rRNA". It matches the Rfam family "Bacterial small subunit ribosomal RNA", at positions 28 to 526 of the family's 1533-position model. The record is from RNAcentral.